AACGAACGCUGGCGGCAUGCCUAACACAUGCAAGUCGAACGAUCCCUUCGGGGAUAGUGGCGCACGGGUGCGUAACGCGUGGGAAUCUGCCCUUGGCUUCGGAAUAACAGUUAGAAAUGACUGCUAAUACCGGAUGAUGUCUUCGGACCAAAGAUUUAUCGGCCAGGGAUGAGCCCGCGUAGGAUUAGGUAGUUGGUGAGGUAAAGGCUCACCAAGCCGACGAUCCUUAGCUGGUCUGAGAGGAUGAUCAGCCACACUGGGACUGAGACACGGCCCAGACUCCUACGGGAGGCAGCAGUGGGGAAUAUUGGACAAUGGGCGCAAGCCUGAUCCAGCAAUGCCGCGUGAGUGAUGAAGGCCUUCGGGUCGUAAAGCUCUUUUACCCGGGAUGAUAAUGACAGUACCGGGAGAAUAAGCUCCGGCUAACUCCGUGCAGCCGCCGCAGUAA
This 448-nucleotide ribosomal RNA is filed under the name uncultured bacterium. RNAcentral's name for it is "partial 16S ribosomal RNA". It matches the Rfam family "Bacterial small subunit ribosomal RNA", at positions 29 to 523 of the family's 1533-position model. The record is from RNAcentral.